Molecule: non-coding RNA, 148 nt
Filed under: Homo sapiens (human)
Lineage: Eukaryota; Metazoa; Chordata; Mammalia; Primates; Hominidae
Source: Rfam by way of RNAcentral
GCCGGGUGUGGUGGUGCACACCUGCAAUCCCAGCUGCUUGGGAGGCUGAGGCAGGAGAAUCACUUGAGCCCAGGAGGUGGAGGUUGCAGUGAGCCGCGAUGGCGCCAUUGCACUCCAGCCUGGGUGACAGAGUGAGACUCUGUCUUAA